ACAGCUGCCGCAGGGUUGGCGGACUCGGAAAGGAGCGAAGAUGGCGGAGUGAGGCGUGUCGCUGCGAGCCGGCCGUUGGGCCGGGGGCGACAAGGCCCCCGGAGUGUCCAGUGCGACUGCUAGUCGGUGCGAGGAAGAACAUUUUCUUUGGCUUCCAGGUGCUUUUAUAUUCAUCUUAAGAAGAAAGCAAAAAUCUGAACUCAGGAUUUGGCAAGUGAGUAAUAGGGGCUGAUGCUUCCAGAUAUUGUUCAAGCAGCUCGGAAAAUUACUAGAUGUAUUCUGUCUUGUCUCCUGGAGUAGGUAGUCCUUUUAUCCAGCCACUUGCCCUAUUCUUGAAAUGUGGAUAUCUCUUCUCUACAUGUUUUACCUCCAUGGUUUGGAUUGGAAAAGGCUGCUUUUUUUUUGUUGUUCCUUUUCUCAGAUUCAACAUUGAGAGGCUCCUAGGAUGCAGUUGUCUUGCCAAGUUCUCCAGAAAGAAAGAAGCAACUGACAUACAUGUUCUGCUUUUUGCUUAAUUACAAAGAAAUUAUUUUGGAAGCUGAAACUGAUGCUUAAUUUGAAGCAGGUGCUUAGAUGCUGGUGUAUGUUAAUAUUUUACCUUUUGUUCCAAACAAGAAGACUAAAUACAGAGCAAGUAUGGAUGAUUUCAGGGGUUUUUUGUUGUUGGUUGGGUUUUUUGUUGUUUUUUUUAAUGUCUUCCAUUUUCGGUCUCUGUCAUAAGCACAGUCAAAUCUGCAAGGAGUAAAUUCCAAAUAUGUGUUCUAAUAUGAAAUGAGAGAUGCUUAAAAACUACAAAUAUUAAAUAUCUAAAUCGUGACUCAUCCUUUGAAGUACAUUUGCUGGAAAAGAACAAAAGCCCAAUUUUGCAAUAAAACCUUUGAUAAAGAAGCAUAAAGACAAAAUGAUUCAAGGUUAACAGAGUCUGUCAAAUAUACGUUUACAUGUGCAAAUCUACAUUUUGGAUGAGAAGAGGGAUUUUUCUCCUAGAGAAGGAAGCUGUUGCUGGUUUCUGUCUGAGAAGUCUUUGGACAUUUUGUAUUUUUAAAUGAUUUUUCACUUUUCUAAGGAAGGACCAUAUUGUACAUUUGCUAACCGUGUGAAUGCAUGGUUGAGUCUACUGAAAAUUCGGAAAAGGAAACAAAACCGCUUCAAGUCCAGUGAUGGAACCCUGUUCACCUCCCUCAGAUGAGAGGCUCCUAUAUUGCAAAUUACUCCAUUCUUUUUUGUGGAUUCUUACAUAGCACUUGAGACAUGGAAACAUGCUGCUAAGCAGGAACAAGUGUGGCUUAAGUGGUUUUUCUGUUCAGAAAAUAUGGUGGAUUCUCUGGCAUGACCUGCCUUCAACUUUGGGCAUGGAGGAAUGGGGAACAAAAACAUGUCCAGAGAAUUCCUUUCUCCUGAGAAAAAAGAAGCAAAAAUGCUUUAUGCAGCUCCAUCUGACUUUAUGGCAUCUUACAUUCUGUAGCUCCUGUUUUCUAAAAACAUAAAUAACUUUGUUCCUUUGACCCAAGAUGGGUACUCAGAUGUUUGGUUUAUUUUUUUAGGUGAGAUGUAAUGUUAGGCUGUAAAGACUGGGACUCAGGUAAUAUUCCCCAGUUGGAACUGAACUUACUCAUCAGAGAAUGGACUUCAGUAGCAAUGUUCCCAAAUUCGUGUUUGAUUUAGAAGAAAUUCAGGGUCUGGAAAACACCUCAAACAAGAAAAGUAGUUCAGUAAAUAUACGGAUCUUCCUCUUUGUAAAGCUUACACCAUGUGAUGAACAGACUGUAAUGUAAAGCUAUUCUUGCUUCCAAAUCAGCAGAGGACCACUGUAUGAAUUGUCAGCUCUUUACAUAAGAAGAAAACGGAGUCUUUGUGAGAAAAAAUUUGAAACUUCUUAGAUGCAAUUAAGAACAAAUUGCCUUAGGUCAUAAUCUGUGAUUUAGGGAAUUUGCCUAGGGUUACUCAUGCUGUGAUACUAAAAACUUAGGGCAAAUUUACCCUAAAAAAUUUAGCAGUGACAGAAAUGCCCCAAAGUGCUAAUUAUUGAGUACUUUUAGUGAUUAGUUAAAUUGGUCAACCUAUAUGAAUUGGCAUAAGAAAGCUUUUUAGUAAAAAUAAUUACAUAAUAUAGAUAUAAUUUCCUUUGAGGGCAAAUACUGAGUGGUACAGCAUAGAAAUAACUUUGGAUAAAGGUAACUUUUCUCUAAGUAACUUCUCAGUCAACUUCUUGAUAUUUGCUUUGACUAUUUUGGAGUUCUUAAAGACAGAAAGGAACCUCCAUACAUGAGUCCCAUUGGUAUGUUGAGAAUUUAUAUCUUUAGUUUUCUGUUAUCCAUCUUCCCCAUGUCCUUUUUGCAGUGUUUUGGGUAAGAUCAUUUGGCAGGGGAUAGGGACUUUAUACUGUCCGCUCCAGUGAAACUAUCUCUGUUCCAUUUGUUUGAGUAUAUAUCAGACUCCUCUUCUCCAGUUGCUUUGUAUUUUUUAUUUCACAGCUAAAACCACUGUUAAAUGCUCUCAUUCAAGUUGUUCGUUGCAUCUUUAGUGUUGUCACCAGAAAGCAUCUAACAAAAUGGGUCUAUGCCAGUUGUACUAGCCCAGUGUUUACUUAAUAUUCCUACAUUUUCCCCUUGGGCUAUUUUGUUCCCUUCUUGAUGGGAAAAGCUGUAAUUGUAGGCAGGACUACACCUUGAUCAGUAGCUGUGCCUACUUACUUCCCUUUCUUCAUCCAUGUCAGCUGGCAGUUUUUCUUUUAAAAAGUUAAAAACGGGAUAUGUGCAAUAGAAAUAUAUAUAUAUAUGUAUAUUUUAAUACUUGUGGACAAAUGUUACAAGUUGUUUAAGAACAACAAAAUCACCAAUGUCUUCCAUUUUGAGAUGUGUAUAGUUUUGUAAGCAUUAGUGCUUGGUAGCAUAUUGUAGUGCCAUGUUAGGGGUUAGUGCAUGAGCCUAGUAAUAAUUUAAACUCCAGGAUGAAUUAUUGAUAAUAACCAGUAGUGUAAAAUGAGUGGAAAAUCGAGACUUUUCUUUUUUCAUAAAUAUCAGAAUCAUGAUAUUCUCCCUGGGGAAAGGAGAUUAAGGCCAAAAAGACUCAUUUAUGAAUAGAACUGUGGGAUCACAGUGUAAAAUACCAUGUCUGAGGAGAGUGAAGCUUUCUCUGAGGUAGCUGGAAACCAGUUGCCUUCGUGUCUUAUGAAACCUCAUAUCAAAAUGAGGCCCCAUUUCAUGAUUCUGCUUUGUUCUCUUAGUUUGAGAGGAGAUUGUUCUUACGCUGUUUUCACAUGGUGUGUCUUGUAAAUUUAUUUUUUAAUCCACUCCUUUUGCAUCAAGGAAUUAUUUUUUAUUUUGCAUGUGUUACUGAGAUGCUGUGUUAGUCAUGUACUUUUCUAACCUGCAGACCAUUUACAUUUCCUGUCUGCAGCAUGCUAAUUGUUCUGGAAGAACGCUGGUCAGUAGUUCAGUGUCCUACAUUAAUUUGUCACAGGCUUUUCCUGUUUCACAACCUGAAUUGUGUGUUGAUGGGACUCUAGACCUUCUCAUAAGAAUUGGAAUGUAGCUAGAUGGAGCCUGAGCAGGUUGUCAUGUAAUAACUGUCUCUCUUGCUUGGUUAUAGUAAGCCACCUCAGACAGCCUUCACUUUUUCCUGCUUGUAAAAAUAAAAGUUGUUUUGUCCCGAAAGCGUAAGGUCGCUUUCUGUGGAAAAGAAAUUCCUACCUCUAAAAGCUGCAUUGAGAACUUGGAAAGAGCAGUUUUCUGAGGUGAUUUUUAAAUCUCAGUAUUACGAGAGUUCAGGAUUUAUUGACACAGAUUCUGUGGUUACCAUGAUGAGACACAAAACUAAUGUGUCUCCAGUACACAAGUAGCUCAAGCAAGUAGACUCUGCAGCAGCGGAUAUCCAGGGACCCCGGUUUAGAUCAGAGUGUACUUAAAGUAGUUGUACUCUUGGCUCUAGUAGUUCAGCGCCUGGGAGAAUCCAUUUCCAAAAAAGCAUUUAAAUAUUUUGAAAAAUACCUCUGAAAAGAUAAUGAAUGCAAAAUAGCACAGUAUAUAGGAAAGGAUAUUUCCUAUUGCAAAAAAAUAAAAAAUAAAAGCCAUAAAACGAAUAAUGAUUUUCAAGAGGUAGAAUCUUAGUAGCAAUAACAGUUUUGCAUGUAUAGCAAAUUGUAUUAGCAAUGUUGUACAAUAGAAAUAAAUAUUACUACUUGAGUUGGUGAAGCUCUGUGACCAGCAGAGUUGCACCAAAGGAAGAUGUUUUAGGCAAAGAACAUAUAAAAGGUACUUUAAAAACUGAAUGUAUAUGAAUAUAUCAUUGUGUGAGAAAUAGCAACUUCUGUUUAAGUUAAAGGUUAGAGACCCUAUUUGUUUCCUAAAGCAGAGGGUUAGAGCCAUUGAAGGAAAUUUUUCUAGUGGUUAAUUAACCUGGAAACAAAUGUACUCCUACUGAUGUAGCCCCAUGGAUGCCAUCGAGUGGGGAUUUUGCUUAUGAUGUACUUUUCAGCAACAGGCGUUUAUAGAAGAGCCUACUUUGGGCUCUGUCACCUUUUCUUUUCUCCUUUAGUUCUCUGGGUGCGUUUUAAGAAUGGAAAAGUUUGGGGGUGGUGUGUGUGUUUGGGUUAAAAACAAACCAAGAACUUGGAUAGCUGGCUUUUCCUUGUAUGCCUGUGGUUAGUUUAGGGGAGUUAGAAUUUAAAGAUGUAAAGCAAAGGAUUGAACGAAACAGCCAAAGACAGCAUGUUGGUUUUAUAAACCUUGUCUGAUAUACAUGUGCUGAGGAUUUUGGUCUGUGACUCUUUAUUUUAAUAAGAGCCCAGCAAACUAGUGUUUUGAUACAAGGAACCUCACACCUCCCAUCAGGAUAUAGUAAAAUGGAAGCUGACUUCUUACUCCCUUUUACCUUGUGUUCAUUUUGGCCAUUUAGCACCUUGAAGGUGCCUGAAAAGAUUAGGUCUGUGUUCUCUUGUUUCCCCAGGGGAAAAAACUAAAAGGAGAAUGAAUUUUAAAAAAUAGUGCCUCUUGAAUAUUUAAUUCUUCUAUGGCAACUCCAGAGGAUAGGGAGAAGGCUAUUAUAUUAAAUUGAUUAUAGCUCCUCUUUAAAUGUCCUACGCCAUCAGUUGGUGUUAGAGACAUUGGAAUAACCAAGCAAUAUUCAGUCAUCUGCACGAUCAUGAGGACACCGCUGUGUAUUAUAGUGAUGUCAACAAUUUAGUUACUUAAAACAAAGACUACCCUUAACAGCCACGUUAAUAGUUGUAAAUGCUAAAAUGUGCUACAAGUUUUUGUAGUCUCUAUGUGGUUAUUACUUUUCAAUGUUGUUGUAGUCUGAUGUUUACUCUUUUGUGUACCUGUGAUAUGCAAAAUAUGAAGAGACCCUUGGCCUCCAGGAGUUUACAUUCUCAUGGUGCUGCUGGUGCAAGCAAAUUGCUUCUAGUUUAUUCAGAACAUUGCUUGGCUGUUAACCAUACCCUAUUUGGAAGAAUCCCUUGGCCAAUAGUUUUCAAAGCAGGAGUCCAUGCUAAAUUUCAGGGCAUUGAUUUUGAGUUUACAUAUAUCAGCUCUGCUGUUCAUAAACUCCUUUUCCCCAGGGGCUGUGCAGAUAAAGUUCAUUAAUGUGAAUCAGAAAUCAUUCUGCGUAAGAGCAUCUUCACCAUCUUUACACAACCUAUGCUCUUCUAUGCUCUAGCUGUCAAUAAAUGGCCAAGAAAACUUACUGCUCCAAAAGACUGUACAUCUCUCAAUUCUCUUUCUUUUCCCAGAGUUUUUACAUCAUUCUCUACCCAAAAGGGCCAGCAUUUGCAGUUAAGCCUUUUGUAAUUAAGUAGUGGUCCUCAUUUUAACCUUUGUGCAUGACUGUAACUCUAUUCUGAAGCAGCAUUGUGAUGUGGAACAUCUGCCCUGCCUGCAUUUCUAAGCAAUCACUUUCUUAACCCACAUUUUCAGUUGAAACGUGCAUGAAUCCUUGUUAUUGCCCCUAAUUCCUCGGAAUCAGGGGGUCUUUUCUGCAUGUUUAUUAAAACUGGGUCUGAACAAAAGUGCAAGCAAUAGUGGCAGGCCCAGAACUCCGAUUUUAGAGUACUGUUCUUCUAAUGCAUGGUUGAAAAUGUCCAGUGUUAUGUGGUGACUAGUAGAUAUAUUUAUGCAUUUAUUAAUGAAGCAAUAGAGACUUAAACCAAUAGUCUGAAUUUACUGUUUGGAUUAUUUUCAUUUUCUAAUUAAAGAUUAUCUUAACUUCCAUUGAAAAUGGAAGCUAGAAGAUAAACAGGGGCAACCACAAGACAUUCAAACUGUCAGGAAUAGAGAGCAUGACAGUGCUCACCCUCUAACCUCUUGCCUGGUUCCCUUAUUCCCCAAGCAUGUUUAAAAGCAAAACAAAGGCACAAACUAAGCAUGUUAAAUAAAUAAGCUGCUAUGGCUAUAUUAAUCAGAAAGGUGCAGAGUUUCAGAAAGAGUACGAGAGUAGGGAAUUAGCAGUGUAGAAUAUAUAAAAUAACGAAGUAUGGGCUUUGUCUGAUAAAAUUUAUGUGUCUUAUGUUUGGAUCUCUUAAAACUCAUAUCUUGGAAGUGAAUGGAAGCAAUACACACGUAUUUCAGAUGUUCCAGGAUUUUCGGAUAACCAGCCAACUCUUCGGGAUGCUGCUGGUACCAACCAGCCUGGCCAUGAAGGUUCCCUGCAGCAAAGGAGACUACUCCAUUGUGUGGAAACAGUGCUAAAAAUACCAACAAAUCUUUGGUUUGGGUUUCCUUUUGUUACUGUAUUAUGGAAAUGUUUUGUUUUUUAAAUUUUAUAGCCAGAGGUUUAUCCAUGAUAUUUUUGCUCAAGACUGCAUAAUUUGUUGCCUAAUGCUUCUGAUGCCAGGUAAACUGCGGGUUUUUCCACUUUUGAAAAAAGGAAAAACCUUGCCAUUUAUUUCCUUACUUGAUGAAGAAAAUAGAUAAAUUAUUGUGAUAGCUUAAGAUUUUUUAUUAGAUUCCUGACUUUGAAAAUAACCCUGUUAAGUGUAAAUGAUCAUGACAAAUAAUAUACAAAUGGAAUUCUUAGCUGAAUGGCAUAAACAGAAGAUAAUUCAGAGUUAGAUCAGAGGAUUCAUGCUAGGCCCCUCCCAGGUUUAAUGUUCUGUGAUUGAAAAAUAAUUUUUCUUAAGCCAUUUUAACCUGUUCUCUUUGCUGUGGGAUUUCACUCCAAAUGCCUUUGGGAAUAUUGAAGUGUAAGUGGUAACUUUCUAGUAGUUCAGAACUGAAUUAGACUUAAACGGUCAUUGCAGUGUUUAGUGUCCACUUAAGUAUAGGCUGUGAGAUAAUUAUUUCCCAUUUGUAAAUUUGCUUCUUGUCACUUACUGAUUACAUCUGCCAACCAACAAAACCAGUAAAGAUAUAGGGAGGAGUUUCUCUCAACUCUGUGCCCAUUAUUCCACAAAAGCAUAUAGUUAAAAAAAACAAACAUCACAGAUUUCUCUAGGAACUUUUAUGCCUAAACCUCCUUUAAAAUCAAAAUAGAUAUCGUAAAGUUACUGACAAUUCCGAAGGUUUUUUUUUCUCCCUUGCUGAUUGUAUGCCGUGCCAUCAGUUUUCCUCCCAGAGAUAAGAAUGGUAUUCUGGCAAUACAUUAUGGUCAGUCCUUAAAUAACAGUAAGAGUCUUGGCACUUACCUUAAAAUGACCUGUCACUUACAGAGUCCUACUAUAUUACAGUAUCAUUCACAUACUUUUAUUUAGCAUCUUCCAAGUACAGUUGCUCACUAUUUCUACUUGCUGUUCUAUAUUUUCUUCAUUACACCAUUGGUAUACAAUGUUAAAAAGAAUUUCACUGAAUGUUUAUAAAGUAUUACAAAAGGCAGCUUUUUAAUCUAUGCAUCCUUGGGAUUACAGAAAUUAUAUUCUUUGAUGUAAAAGGGAACUGCUAUACGAGUUGGAAACUCUGCACCUAUGUGUGUGCGCGUGUGUGUGUGUGUAUAUAUUGGCAAUAAAGCAGCAUGGGCUGAGAAUGCACUGAAA
Molecule: long non-coding RNA, 7966 nt
Organism: Neogale vison (American mink)
Lineage: Eukaryota; Metazoa; Chordata; Mammalia; Carnivora; Mustelidae
Exons: 3
Source: RefSeq, a predicted model, not a curated record